Molecule: long non-coding RNA, 1358 nt
Organism: Lingula anatina
Lineage: Eukaryota; Metazoa; Brachiopoda; Lingulata; Lingulida; Lingulidae
Source: RefSeq, a predicted model, not a curated record
CUAUUAUAAGAAGGGUAACUAAGUUUACCACGUUAGACCAUAUUAGGUAGGGCUCCUCAGCAAAACCCACUCAAGUGUCCGCAAACACGGCUCGCAGGACGGAGAAUAAUGCACAUUAUAUAGAUAAGUGGGGGUUUUAGUUCAGCUGACGUACUGGAAGGACCCUUGUUACAAGUGACUGGCGUUAUGCUCUGGUUCCCUUAAAUCUCAUACUCAUUUUCCAAUACAGAUUGAUGGAUUGAGCAAUCGAUGAACAAAUUGAACAACAUAAGACGUUUCUCUUUAGUGCCAUUGAGCAAGUCUUGCCAUGUUUCGCCUAUGUCGAUCAAGUUACAUGGGUCGGUAGAACAACAAAUAUCGAGCUCAAACAUUUUCUCCCAAUGAAGAAACGACCCAUGACUCUAAACCAACGUCGACAGAAUUUCCAGGAGUCGUCCAGAAGGGUGUCCAGAUGCUACCGCCUGACCAUCACCAUUCAUGUACUCCUUUUGCUGGCCAUCCUCGGGACACUUGGGAUGGCAUAUUUAGUGGAGAACAAGGAGAAACUGCCCGCGGUCCAGAAUGGAUUAAGUGGGAUGCGUUCAGUGCUUGACAGUUAUGCACAGGAGCUCGGUUUGUGGAAAUGAGUAAAUGGAAAAUUGUCGCAUCGAAACUUGAAUGGGACCAUCCAAACAGCUGUGCACAGAACAUUUUCAGACUCCAGGGGAUGGGGAUCUAAUUGGGGGAUGGAGAACAAAAACUUUUCUUCCCGUUCAGACAGAUGGGAUUUAAUCCUCGCCCAUGCGUACAUGAGAAGUUCACUUCAUGACAUAACGGUUGACAAGAAAGAGACGGAUAACCUAUCCCAGUAUCAGGGUAAAUUUCUUUCCUUAAAACGAGUGGCAGCGUUGGGACAGGAAUCUUCAUAUACACUCAUGGUAUGUGCUUGUCUACCACCAUAAAGCAGGGGUGCUUUAAGUAAACCAACGAGAACCAGCGCAAACAAACGAGGCACUUCUUAGUAGACCAAUGCCAGAGCUUGGAAGACCAAAGUCAAAUGAUAGGAAGGCGUUAAAUCGUAAGCAAGCAGAUACUGCCAGACCAUAGAACCAGGGUAAUUCGGCACAGCAUGAUAGAGUCAUUAGAAAGGUCCAGACGAUAGGUAUAACAACAGUUGGCAGUUUGUCACCAGUAAUAAAAAUAUAUUAAUUUUGCUUUCCAGCCACACUUUUUGGCAGGACCUAUGAAUUUGUUUGAUGGACUCUAGGUAUUACAUAAGACGUGCGGUGGAUAAACCCGUAAUAGAUCAAUUACAGUAAAUAGUAAAACCAGUGUUAGAUUAUUUGAAUAUGUUCCCUUACCUUCCCGUGUAUUACAAA